UACGUAGGCAGCAAGCGUUGUUCGGAGUUACUGGGCGUAAAGGGUGCGUAGGCGGCUUUUUAAGUCUGGUGUGAAAUCUCCCGGCUCAACUGGGAGGGUGCGCCGGAUACUGAGGGGCUAGAGUGUGGGAGAGGAAAGUGGAAUUCCUGGUGUAGCGGUGAAAUGCGUAGAUAUCAGGAGGAACACCGGUGGUGUAAACGGCUUUCUGGACCAUAACUGACGCUGAGGCACGAAAGCGUGGGUAG
RNAcentral lists this ribosomal RNA (245 nucleotides) under uncultured bacterium. RNAcentral describes it as "partial 16S ribosomal RNA". It matches the Rfam family "Bacterial small subunit ribosomal RNA", at positions 524 to 768 of the family's 1533-position model. The record is from RNAcentral.